CCAGAUCCUAAGAUUGUAAAUGAAAAUAAUCUUAUGGUCUCUGAGUACUUUAAUAUACCAGGCACUAAUCUGGACUCUCAAAGCUCAGAUAGCUUUGUCUCUUCUGAUACUGAAAAUCAGCUCAGUUCAGAUGUAUAUGAAAUCAGGAAUUAGCUAGUGGUCACAAAACCAAAUUUUUGCAAACUGACUUCCCAGAUGUAGAUGUCCAUAUGGAAAAUUUUCCAAGUGGAGUUGCUAAUUUCCACCAAUAUCCUAAGCGCGAUUCCCCUCCUAGCAGCGUAUCAACCAUUGACUCUCCAUCCGCUUUGCACACUGCAACCUCUCAGUCCUCUGAUACCC
This 339-nucleotide long non-coding RNA is filed under the name Nicotiana benthamiana. Its description in RNAcentral is "long non-coding RNA (NBEN_LNC021091)". Lineage: Eukaryota; Viridiplantae; Streptophyta; Magnoliopsida; Solanales; Solanaceae. The record is from RNAcentral.